UGCGCAGGCGGUUAGAUAAGUCAGAUGUGAAAUCCCCGAGCUCAACUUGGGAAUUGCAUUCGAUACUGGGAAGCUAGAGUAUGGGAGAGGAUGGUAGAAUUCCAGGUGUAGCGGUGAAAUGCGUAGAGAUCUGGAGGAAUACCGAUGGCGAAGGCAGCCAUCUGGCCUAAUACUGACGCUGAGGUACGAAAGCAUGGGGAGCAAACAGGAUUAGAUACCCUAGUA
This 225-nucleotide ribosomal RNA is filed under the name uncultured Acinetobacter sp. RNAcentral's name for it is "partial 16S ribosomal RNA". It matches the Rfam family "Bacterial small subunit ribosomal RNA", at positions 568 to 792 of the family's 1533-position model. Lineage: Bacteria; Pseudomonadati; Pseudomonadota; Gammaproteobacteria; Moraxellales; Moraxellaceae. The record is from RNAcentral.